GAUCCUGGCUCAGAAUCAACGCUGGCGGCGCGCUUAACACAUGCAAGUCGAACGAGAAAGGGGAGCAAUCCCUGAGUAAAGUGGCGUACGGGUGAGUAACACGUGGGUAAUCUACCUUUUGGUGGGGAAUAACGCUGGGAAACCGGCGCUAAUACCGCAUAAGCUCGAAAGAGGAAAGGAGCAAUUCGCCGAAAGAGGAGCCCGCGGCUGAUUAGCUAGUUGGUAGGGUAAAAGCCUACCAAGGCUAUGAUCGGUAGCCGGCCUGAGAGGGCACACGGCCACACUGGCACUGAAACACGGGCCAGACUCCUACGGGAGGCAGCAGUGGGGAAUCUUGCACAAUGGGGGAAACCCUGAUGCAGCGACGCCGCGUGAGUGAUGAAGCCCUUCGGGGUGUAAAGCUCUUUCGGCAGGGACGAUAAUGACGGUACCUGAAGAAGAAGCUGCGGCUAACUACGUGCCAGCAGCCGCGGUAAUACGUAGGCAGCGAGCGUUGUUCGGAGUUACUGGGCGUAAAGAGUGCGUAGGCGGUUUUCUAAGUUUGGUGUGAAAUCUCCCGGCUCAACUGGGAGGGUGCGCCGAAGACUGGAAGGCUAGAGUAUGGGAGAGGUAAGCGGAAUUCCUGGUGUAGCGGUGAAAUGCGUAGAUAUCAGGAGGAACACCUGCGGUGUAGACGGCUUACUGGACCAU
Molecule: ribosomal RNA, 690 nt
Filed under: uncultured Acidobacteriota bacterium
Lineage: Bacteria; Pseudomonadati; Acidobacteriota
Description: bacterial SSU rRNA
Rfam family: Bacterial small subunit ribosomal RNA
Source: RNAcentral